RNAcentral lists this transfer RNA (56 nucleotides) under Podura aquatica (water springtail). Its description in RNAcentral is "tRNA-Thr". The record is from RNAcentral. Lineage: Eukaryota; Metazoa; Arthropoda; Collembola; Poduromorpha; Poduridae.
AUAGUUUAACUAAAAUAUCGGUUUUGUAACCCGAAGUUCAAUAUAUUUGUUAUAGC